AUCCAAAUGACGAGUUCAAAACAGGACGAAACAUGUAUCAUGGAU
RNAcentral lists this non-coding RNA (45 nucleotides) under Trichobilharzia regenti. The record is from RNAcentral. Lineage: Eukaryota; Metazoa; Platyhelminthes; Trematoda; Strigeidida; Schistosomatidae.